UCUCUAUCUAUCUCUCCCACAAUCCUCCCUCACUCUUCAGGUCUUCUCUGAAAUCAACUUUCAACAGUGGUAAUUCUAAUGGUAAUGUAUACUCAUUUCAAUUACAAUUCGAUGUUUUAUUCUUUUCAAUUUAUCUUAAUACAAUUGUUAUGUUUGUCUCUUAAGAUGUGAUGUGUGUUGUGGAUGGAAAAUUUCUAGGAGACAAACAUAAGUGUAUCAAUUUCUACCUUCAUUGCAAUAACAAUAAAUUAUGUAAAUCCUGCAAAAAAUUUGGUCACAUAGAUCAUCGAGUAAUCCAAAUCGGUGUUGUUUGAUUUGACAGGAAGAUCUAUGUGAUAUGUCAAUGAUCUAUACGUUUUCGAGUUAAAGUUUUCAUAAUUUUAUUUUUGUUAAAUCAAGCAGGUUUAAUUCUCUUUUUUUACUUGCAAUUGCAAAUCAUAUAUGGAUAUUGUCUUAUAAUUAAGUUUUUCAUACCACUUUCAAUUGCAAGCUUGUAGACAUCCUUACAAUUUUUUUUUGUGGUGGCCGGGAUUUGAACCCCAGACCUUGCAUAUCAACUGAGAUAAGCUCACAAAGACAGAUAUAUCAUUGAGAUAUCAUAUAAAUCUAGCUAUCAAACUAAACAACACCUACUUGGAUUACUCGAUGAUUUUUGUGACCUGAUUUUAUGCAACAUCUACAUAAGACAUUAUCAGUGCAAUCAAGGCAGAACUUGUUACAUUCAUUUCGAAGACAUUUUGGUGGACUUCGCAUGUUGUGAAGAAUGUGAUGAUGGCUAGAAAUUUUUUCAGCCAGGUCACACAUAUCAUAUCUUAAAGACAAACACAACAAAUGUAAUAAUAAAAAUUUAAAAAG
This 855-nucleotide long non-coding RNA is filed under the name Medicago truncatula (barrel medic). RNAcentral describes it as "lncRNA gene39444". Lineage: Eukaryota; Viridiplantae; Streptophyta; Magnoliopsida; Fabales; Fabaceae. The record is from RNAcentral.